This 358-nucleotide unclassified non-coding RNA is filed under the name soil metagenome. RNAcentral describes it as "partial contains 5.8S ribosomal RNA, internal transcribed spacer 2, and large subunit ribosomal RNA". The stretch from base 1 to 120 matches the Rfam family "5.8S ribosomal RNA", at positions 35 to 154 of the family's 154-position model. The record is from RNAcentral.
GAUGAAGAACGUAGCGAAAUGCGAUAAGUAAUGUGAAUUGCAGAAUUCAGUGAAUCAUCGAAUCUUUGAACGCACAUUGCGCCCGCCAGUAUUCUGGCGGGCAUGCCUGUCCGAGCGUCAUUUCAACCCUCGAACCCCUCCGGGGGGUCGGCGUUGGGGACCUCGGGAGCCCCUAAGACGGGAUCCCGGCCCCGAAAUACAGUGGCGGUCUCGCCGCAGCCUCUCCUGCGCAGUAGUUUGCACAACUCGCACCGGGAGCGCGGCGCGUCCACGUCCGUAAAACACCCAGCUUCUGAAAUGUUGACCUCGGAUCAGGUAGGAAUACCCGCUGAACUUAAGCAUAUCAAUAAGCGGAGGA